RNAcentral lists this ribosomal RNA (496 nucleotides) under uncultured bacterium. RNAcentral describes it as "partial 16S ribosomal RNA". It matches the Rfam family "Bacterial small subunit ribosomal RNA", at positions 29 to 507 of the family's 1533-position model. The record is from RNAcentral.
ACGAACGCUGGCGGCGUGCCUAAUACAUGCAAGUUGAGCGAUGAAGAUUGGUGCUUGCACCAAUUUGAAGAGCAGCGAACGGGUGAGUAACGCGUGGGGAAUCUGCCUUUGAGCGGGGGACAACAUUUGGAAACGAAUGCUAAUACCGCAUAACAACUUUAAACAUAAGUUUUAAGUUUGAAAGAUGCAAUUGCAUCACUCAAAGAUGAUCCCGCGUUGUAUUAGCUAGUUGGUGAGGUAAAGGCUCACCAAGGCGAUGAUACAUAGCCGACCUGAGAGGGUGAUCGGCCAAAAUGGGACUGAGACACGGCCCAAACUCCUACGGGAGGCAGCAGUAGGGAAUCUUCGGCAAUGGACGAAAGUCUGACCGAGCAACGCCGCGUGAGUGAAGAAGGUUUUCGGAUCGUAAAACUCUGUUGGUAGAGAAGAACGUUGGUGAGAGUGGAAAGCUCAUCAAGUGACGGUAACUACCCAGAAAGGGACGGCUAACUACGUG